Long non-coding RNA from Alligator mississippiensis (American alligator), 586 nucleotides. RefSeq lists it as uncharacterized. The transcript has 3 exons. The record is from RefSeq and is a predicted model, not a curated record. Lineage: Eukaryota; Metazoa; Chordata; Crocodylia; Alligatoridae.
UACCCCUGCUCCUUGAUGGCAGGGGCUUCAUGAGGCCCCACUCUGCGGUCACAGAGUGACCUGAUCAGAGCAACACUCGGGAAGGCUCAGCUCUCAGUUCCUACUGGAAGCUCUAUCUGCUGCUGUGCUUCCUGUUCCUUCCCCAAUGUCACUUGGCACACACAGAAGCUGCCUUGGCCCCUUGUGAAGCCCAUCCUACCGUUUGGCCACCCCUUCUUUACAAGGAACAAAUCAUUUUGGUGAGUCUACCACCUCAAAUUUACAAAUGACGUUCCCAUAAAUCCAUAGCCAGCAUUGGAUGGCAUCAACAAGGAGUUAACCAAUAAUCCUUUCACAUACUCAAAUUUCAUAUUCACUGGAAGGAAAAAAAUCAGUAAUUGCCAAAGGAAAAAGGACAAGAUCAGCAGGGAAAGAAAUUUAUUUUCAAGCUUCUAAGAGAGCGCUACAAACAAUAGAGACUAAAAAUCAAGCAUUUAAAACUAUUGAAACAUGUACUUGACAAUGUCCUUAUAAAAAAAAUAAACAUAAAAAUGUAAAAUAAAAAUGCAGUUAAUAAUUCUAAAACUUCUCGAAUAGCAAAAUAAAA